AAAGGGAGGACCAGCCCAGAGCGGCUGAGGUAAAAAUCACACGGGCACGCGGGCACACACAAUGGAAACUGAGAUGAGAAAUCUGGUUGCCCUGUGGAUCUCUCGGCCAUCUUGCUCCCCGGCACUUCCAUCCUUCCUUCCUUCCUCCCUCACAUCCCUAAGCAGCUGAGACCGCUGUUAGUCUGAGCGGAAGCCAGCCAAGGCUGCAGUUUUUCUCUGCCGUCCCUCUGCUCUCCCUCGGGACCGAGGGAGUCUACGUGUUUCUGUGACAUCACCCACUGGUGUCUCUGGGCCAACGCUUCUUGCCUACCGUCACGCCAGCCAGACGGGCAGAGGGAUUAACAGCAGAGGUUCGGGUACGGGGCCCUUGACCACGAAGGCCUUCGACAAGGAACAUAAGGCUGCCACAGUUCCAACAGCCGGCUACGUUCUGCUCUCUAAUACAAAACUACAGACGUCUUAACUAAGGAUUAUUCACCUUCAGACUACACUAUACUUUUUGGGCUUGCCAGGCAACAACGCCUCUAUUACUGUAAUUUCCCAUCCCUCAAAAAAACAAAAACAACAACACUGCAAUCCCCCUUAGACUAAUCAACUUUAUCUUGAUGCGGUGUUUGUUUCUUGAAGCUUCUAUUUACUUCAAAGGCUAAACAAGAGUUGAUGAGAGACCAGAGACCUGCUAAAUCAUUAGACACCCAAAAAAUGAAAAAAAUCCAGGGAUGUAGUUUAUUAAAUCAAUCCCGUCGAUUUUUCCCAGCCCGGCCUUCCUGGAGCCUAAGAUUCCUCUCUGCCCCAACUUCCAGAGCCCCCAAACGCCCCCAAAAAGGUUGAAACGUCGCAUCCUCCGGAGGGAGAAGAAGUUCCUGGGCCGUCCUUGAAGAAAUGUCAAGUUGGUGGCUGCCGCGUGAGCGCUUCCUUGUGCGGGGGUGGAAACUCUUUGUUUUUCCCUGGAAGCCGCGAUCCCAAAUUGUUCCCUCUCCCUCCCUGACAUGGAGGGGUUCGGCUGGUUCUUCCGGAUGCUCCAUUUUCCUCCUCUCCGAGCCCCCCUCGUCCUCUUCCGCCUUCAUCCACCGCCUGCUCCUCUGAGGGACUAUUUGGCUCGAUGCUGUUGUA
Molecule: long non-coding RNA, 1113 nt
Organism: Ornithorhynchus anatinus (platypus)
Lineage: Eukaryota; Metazoa; Chordata; Mammalia; Monotremata; Ornithorhynchidae
Exons: 2
Source: RefSeq, a predicted model, not a curated record